AGAAGUAUCGAGUGGCAAGUGAAGGGCGUAGUUCACCAUUUGUCUAGAUCAUGAUCAUGGGGUGAGAGGAGGUUUGGUGGCUCGAUUGUCACCGUGUACCACACAAAGACCGAUGCUACAGCGCAGUCAAGUCAAGGACAAAA
This is a long non-coding RNA of Mizuhopecten yessoensis (Yesso scallop), 143 nucleotides long. RefSeq lists it as uncharacterized. Lineage: Eukaryota; Metazoa; Mollusca; Bivalvia; Pectinida; Pectinidae. The record is from RefSeq and is a predicted model, not a curated record. The transcript is spliced from 2 exons.